This 253-nucleotide ribosomal RNA is filed under the name uncultured bacterium. RNAcentral's name for it is "partial 16S ribosomal RNA". It matches the Rfam family "Bacterial small subunit ribosomal RNA", at positions 524 to 776 of the family's 1533-position model. The record is from RNAcentral.
UACAGAGGUCCCAAGCGUUAUUCGGAUUCACUGGGCGUAAAGGGUGCGCAGGCGGCCAAGUGUGUGAGGCGUGAAAGCCUGGGGCUUAACUCCAGAAUUGCACCUCAAACUACUUGGCUAGAGCAUUGGAGAGGGUAGCAGAAUUCACGGUGUAGCAGUGAAAUGCGUAGAUAUCGUGAGGAAUACCAGAGGCGAAGGCGGCUACCUGGACAAUUGCUGACGCUCAGGCACGAAAGCGUGGGGAGCAAAAGGG